UUUUGUUACUCUCUCUUAAUUUUUUCUAGAGAAAGUUAAAGCAAUAAACAAUAACCUUCAUUUCAGCACCAUAUUGAAGCAGAGAUUUUUUAAGUUCUACCAUAUCCGCUCCCAUAGGGUAAAAAUCAGGUAAUACCCUCCUCCAAAUAAGCGGGGUGGGUGGCGGGUACCCAUCGGAUUUGGAGAAAUUGCCAUAUCCUUGAUCAAUACCCAAUGCGAAAACAUUGCAAUCUCCAGGGGCGAGGCAAGAAAAAAAAAAUUCUAAAAACGUUCAACAAGUAAAAUAGAAAAAAAAAAUCAAAAAAGGUAAAAGUGGUGGGCCCCAUUUUUCUUAUGGAAACAACAAAUUUUUAACCCACAAGGCCUCAUUUGGGAGUUCACCCCUUGGCAGUCGUCAAGCUGGCAAUGUAGUAUCCAUUUCCUUGUGCACUGCUCUAAUGACAGCAGUAGCUUGUUCAAUCUGGUCUUCACUAGAACAAGCGUUGAGAAG
Long non-coding RNA from Rhododendron vialii, 490 nucleotides. RefSeq lists it as uncharacterized. The record is from RefSeq and is a predicted model, not a curated record. Lineage: Eukaryota; Viridiplantae; Streptophyta; Magnoliopsida; Ericales; Ericaceae. The transcript has 2 exons.